AUUGAACGCUGGCGGCAUGCCUUACACAUGCAAGUCGAACGGUAACGCGGGGGCAACCUUGGCGACGAGUGGCGAACGGGUGAGUAAUACAUCGGAACGUACCCAGUAGUGGGGGAUAGCUCGGCGAAAGCCGGAUUAAUACCGCAUACGACCUACGGGUGAAAGCGGGGGAUCGAAAGACCUCGCGCUAUUGGAGCGGCCGAUGUCGGAUUAGCUAGUUGGUGAGGUAAAGGCUCACCAAGGCGACGAUCCGUAGCUGGUCUGAGAGGACGACCAGCCACACUGGGACUGAGACACGGCCCAGACUCCUACGGGAGGCAGCAGUGGGGAAUUUUGGACAAUGGGCGAAAGCCUGAUCCAGCCAUGCCGCGUGUGUGAAGAAGGCCUCGGUUGUAAGU
Molecule: ribosomal RNA, 398 nt
Filed under: uncultured bacterium
Lineage: Bacteria
Description: bacterial SSU rRNA
Rfam family: Bacterial small subunit ribosomal RNA
Source: RNAcentral